GAUGAACGCUGGCGGCGUGCCUAAUACAUGCAAGUCGAGCGAACAGACGAGGAGCUUGCUCCUCUGACGUUAGCGGCGGACGGGUGAGUAACACGUGGAUAACCUACCUAUAAGACUGGGAUAACUUCGGGAAUCCGGAGCUAAUACCGGAUAAUAUAUUGAACCGCAGGGUUCAAUAGUGAAAGACGGUUUUGCUGUCUCUUAUAGAUGGAUCUGCGCCGCAUUAGCUAGUUGUUAAGGUAAAGGCUUACCAAGGCGACGAUGCGUAGCCGACCUGUGAGGGUGAUAGGCGACCUUGGAACUGAGACACCGACCAGACUCCUAAGAGAGGCAGCAGUAGGCAACGUUCCGCAAUGGGCGGAAGCAUGACGGAACAACGCCGCGUGAGUGAUGAAGGUCUUCGGAUCGGAAAGAUCUGUUAUUAGGGAAGAACAAAUGUGUAAGUAACUAUGCCCGUCUUGACGGUAACUAAUCAGAAAGCCACGGCUAACUACGUG
RNAcentral lists this ribosomal RNA (497 nucleotides) under uncultured bacterium. Its description in RNAcentral is "partial 16S ribosomal RNA". It matches the Rfam family "Bacterial small subunit ribosomal RNA", at positions 28 to 507 of the family's 1533-position model. The record is from RNAcentral.